This 318-nucleotide ribosomal RNA is filed under the name uncultured bacterium. RNAcentral's name for it is "bacterial SSU rRNA". It matches the Rfam family "Bacterial small subunit ribosomal RNA", at positions 28 to 334 of the family's 1533-position model. The record is from RNAcentral.
GAUGAACGCUAGCGACAGGCUUAACACAUGCAAGUCGAGGGGCAGCGGGGGUGAUGGCUUGCCAUCGCCUGCCGGCGACCGGCGCACGGGUGAGUAACACGUAUGCAACCUGCCCGCCACAGGGGGAUAAGCGGAAGAAAUUCCGUCUAAUACCGCGUGACGCGGCACCGGGGCAUCCCGGUGCCGCCAAAGGGAUUACCGGUGGCGGAUGGGCAUGCGGCGCAGUAGCUAGUCGGCGGGGUAACGGCCCACCGAGGCGACGAUGCGUAGGGGUUCUGAGAGGAAGGUCCCCCACACUGGUACUGAGACACGGACCAG